UUAAUCUUCCUAGAAAUUGGAUUUGUUGGCAACCAAAUGUAGGAAAUGUAUGAAAAGUUUAUCUUUCUUCCUUUUUCUCUUCUUUUUUUUCUUCUUUUUUGUUCGAGUAAGAACUUCUUCUUUUCUUUUUGCAAUGGCUUGUCGUCGGCGAUCCAACUUGUACUUGCAGUUAGAUCCACCUUCUUAGUAGGAAUGACUAGGCAUCUCGGUUGGUUCUUCUUCAUCGUCAGCAAUCGAGAUAAUUGAGCAUUCGUCGUUAGAUGACGCAAAUUUUGGGUCGUUGAAGUCCUAAUUUUCGUCAAUUUGCAUGGUUAAAGUCCUAAUUUGUAGAAGUGAUCCCUCAAACUCCAUCCCAUAAUCCCCCCUCUCAUUCUCGUAAUCCCUUCUCUCCAUUCCUUUCCAUUCUCCUCUUCUUCCCUCUUCUUUCAUACUCCCUCUCUCUCUUUCCUCUCGCUUCGUUUCCAUUCUCCUCUUCUUAAUUCCCUCUCUCUUUUCGUAUCCAAAAAUUCAUUUUCUCUCUUUCCCUCUAAUGUCGAAUUCACUAAGAAGGCCACCUUGAGUAGAGCUGGUGGAAGUCGCGAAAAUCGUCGAGUGGAGAGGUGCAAUUGAAGAAGGAAGUGGAUAUUUUUAUUUCUGAUUUUUGUUGAACAAUUGCAGAAACCAUCGCACUCUUGAGGCGGGUUGAUUUUGAUUUUUGUUAAAAUUGGUUGAUUUUGUUAGGCAUUUUGUGGAAUUUAGAGUUGGUGCAAGGUUCCAAUCUGGUGAGUGAGGAAGCACCCGACGGCGGAUGACAUCGGAAAACUCUUAUUCUUCGUUUCUUCGUUUCUUCGUUUCUUCUUCCUCUCUCUUUCUUCUUUCUUUUUUCUUUUAUUCUCUUUCAGUUUUAAAUUUGUUAAUUGAAAACUUCUAAAAAGCAAACAAAAACAAAAUCUAGAAAUUGAAUGAAUUAAAAUUACAUACUACUUGAUCUCUUUCUCUUUCUGUAUGUUGAAAUUAAAUUAUAUAUGUUUGUUAAUUAGGCCAGCUCCUAAAGGAGUCCCUCAAAAUUUCUUGUAUAUCUACAUUGUAAAGCAGAAUGAAAGUGUCUGUGGGUAGAUGGAUGUAAGUAGGGGUGUAAGAAAAAUUCGAUCAACCCCAUCCAACGUGUAACACGGUAUUAUAUGGGAUGGCCGGUUGGAUUAGUUUAAAAUGUGGGUUGGGUUGGAUUGAAAAUUUUGAAUUUUUUCGGGUUGAGUUGGGUUGAAGGGUUGAAUUCCGGUUCAAACCAACCAAACCCGAAUUAAUAUAUAUAUAUAUAUAUAUAUAUAUAUAUAUAUAUAUAUAUAUAUAUAUAUAUAUAUAUAUAUUAUUUAUUUGAUAAAAGUUAAAUAAUUAGAUUAUCACUUUGAAAUUUGCAUUGCAUUCCCCUCUUUUCAUUUUGAACUUUUUUUUAUUGAGAACAAGAACAAUUUUGAACUUUAUAAACAUUAGAAUCUAAAAAAAUAGAAAAAAAAGUAUAACCCGACAAUCCAACCCAACCCAUAUUUUAUGCGUUGGGUUGAAAGCUUAAAUCCUAUUCGGGUUGGCAACCCAACCUACCCAAAAAUAUGGGUUGGGUUGAGAAUGUCUCUCAACCCAACCCAUCCCAACGUGUUUACACCCUAGUUAUAUGUAGAUCUUUUACUUGAUUGGACUACUGUAAGGUUGUGUUUUGUCUAAAUACGGUUAAGGUGGAUGUAAUAUAUUGUUGAUGGAGUCAAAGUUGAAUGAAUAAAGUGCUAAUGGAGCCAAAGUCCAAUCACUUUAAACAAUGGAGAAACAUUAACUCAAUAUUGCUGAUGGAGCCAAAGUUGAGUGAAUAAAGUGCUAAUGGUUUUAGGUAGUUUCUCUAUUUCUUUCUCAAUUAAACCGAAAAAUUCAUGAUUUUUAAGACUUAUCUGUUUUUCAGGAAAGAAACAGAAUCUGGUGAUGGAGAUACAAGGGAUUCUUAUAGUGAUUUUUAAGAAUAGAGAGUGAUAGUGAUAAAUUAGGGAGAUGGGAAGGAAGUGGAAGUAUUUCUUCUGAAGAUGGAGG
Molecule: long non-coding RNA, 2052 nt
Filed under: Cucumis sativus (cucumber)
Lineage: Eukaryota; Viridiplantae; Streptophyta; Magnoliopsida; Cucurbitales; Cucurbitaceae
Description: long non-coding RNA (CSAT_LNC000791)
Source: RNAcentral